Molecule: long non-coding RNA, 236 nt
Filed under: Mytilus galloprovincialis (Mediterranean mussel)
Lineage: Eukaryota; Metazoa; Mollusca; Bivalvia; Mytilida; Mytilidae
Source: RNAcentral
UGUAUCUCCAUGUACACGCAUUGUUUUAAAGAAUUACUCAGCCGCUUGGUUGAUAUGUACGGUAUUGUUGUAUGUGUGUGUUCUUAAUAUCAUAUGUGACCUUGUUACCGAAAUAAUAGCCAUUGAAAAUUUACGGAAGAUCAUCGUAACUCCAAAAGAAGAUAGUCGUAACUUGCUGACAAAUAACUUGAAAGAUAAUCGUAACUGUAUAAAAUAUGUCUAUGAUCAUAGUAACU